Molecule: long non-coding RNA, 704 nt
Filed under: Olea europaea subsp. europaea
Lineage: Eukaryota; Viridiplantae; Streptophyta; Magnoliopsida; Lamiales; Oleaceae
Source: RNAcentral
UGUUUCAUAUAAAUCACUUCAUCCAAGUCACCAUGCAAGAAGGCAGUUUUUUUAGAUCCAUUUGUUCAAGUUCAAGAUCAUAAUGAGCAAUAAGAGCAAGCAUAACUCUAAUUGUAGUAUACUUGACCACAGAAGAAAAAAUCUCAUUAUAGUCUAUGCCUUUCUUUUGUGUAAAUCCGUUAGCCACAAGUCUAACCUUAAACCUUACAGGUUGUUUUUCAAUGAUUUCCUCUUUGACACUAAAUAUCCACUUGGAGUCAACUAGAGCCUUUCCAGCAGGUCUAGGAACUAAGGUCCAGGUCUGAUUUUUUAAUAAUGAGUUCAUCUCAUCAACCAUGGCAACUUGCCAAUUUCCAAAUUCCUGACUGCUUAUUGCUUCUUCAUAAGAUUUUGGUUCUUUGAAGACUAAGCUUGAUAUGAGAGAACAUCAAGAGAGAGGUAAUCCUUAUAUCUAAUAGGUUUUCUUAUUUCUCUCCUAGGCCUGUCUCUAGCUAAUUGAUAAUUCUUAACAUCUUCAGGCUGACUCUCAACAUUUUCUUGGGCACUAUUCUCUUCUAAAUCUGGAUUCCCAAAAGCAUUGUCAUCCUCUUCCUCUACCUGAUCAGAUUUCAGAAGAUCAAGUGGUGGAUCAAGCUCUACCUGCAACCUAGUUCUAUAUCCUUUUUCAGCUUCAAGUGAUCUAUCUGAAUCUUUAUCCUCCAAGC